Molecule: non-coding RNA, 84 nt
Organism: Callorhinus ursinus (northern fur seal)
Lineage: Eukaryota; Metazoa; Chordata; Mammalia; Carnivora; Otariidae
Source: RefSeq, a predicted model, not a curated record
UAAAAUUUUUUAUUUUUGAAGACAUAGACCUUAACAUUUGGGCCCUCCCAAGCAACAUCACAUUAGAAAAAAUUAUUUUGCCCC